RNAcentral lists this ribosomal RNA (445 nucleotides) under uncultured bacterium. RNAcentral's name for it is "partial 16S ribosomal RNA". It matches the Rfam family "Bacterial small subunit ribosomal RNA", at positions 338 to 795 of the family's 1533-position model. The record is from RNAcentral.
CCUACGGGUGGCAGCAGUCGAGAAUCAUUUACAAUGGGGGAAACCCUGAUGGUGCGACGCCGCGUGGGGGAAUGAAGGUCUUCGGAUUGUAAACCCCUGUCAUGUGGGAGCAAAUUAAAAAGAUAGUACCACAAGAGAAGAGACGGCUAACUCUGUGCCAGCAGCCGCGGUAAUACAGAGGUCUCAAGCGUUGUUCGGAAUCACUGGGCUUAAAGUGUGCGUAGGCUGUUUCGUAAGUCGUGUGUGAAACGCGCGGGCUCAACCCGCGGACGGCACAUGAUACUGCGAGACUAGAGUAAUGGAGGGGGAACCGGAAUUCUCGGUGUAGCAGUGAAAUGCGUAGAUAUCGAGAGGAACACUCGUGGCGAAGGCGGGUUCCUGGACAUUAACUGACGCUGAGGCACGAAGGCGAGGGGAGCGAAAGGGAUUAGAUACCCCAGUAGUC